GUACUAUAGAAAUCCCCCAUGAUGGCCUAAUUCUAUAUUUGAGGUUCUUUGAGUGUUGCCAAUAUAAAUCCUGGACUUCGUAAGGAGCCCAAAGAUUUGCUCCCAACUUCGAAAGAUCCAAACCAUAAAAGUCCACCCUGAGACCAUUUCUUUAUGUCAUGGAACUAAAGUACUUCCUCUGUGUGUUGUGAAGGAAAAGGAAGACCAGAUUUAUACAUAUGGCUCUUUGGGCCAACAGUUGCAUGCAAAGUUCUUUCAGUUUUGGCUCCUGCCUCUAAACUCUAUUGAGCACUUUAAAGCAACGUCAUUCUGGGACUUCCCUGGUGGGCCAGGGGUUAAGAAUCCACCUUGCAAGGCAGGGGUCGAGGUUGGGAUUCCUGGUCAGGGACCUAAGAUCCCACGUGCCGGGGAGAAACUAAGCUCACACACGGCAACUAGAGGGCCUGUGCGCCACAGUGAGAGGCCCUGGAGCUGCAGCUGAGACCUGAUGGAGUGGGGGCUUCCCUGGUGGCUCAGUGGUAAAGAAUCCAUCUGCCAAUGAAGGAGACAUGAGUUCGAUCCCUGAUCUGAGACGAUCCCACGUGCCAUGGAGCAAGUCAGCCCGCGGGCCACAACUACUGAGCCUGUGCUCUAGAGUCCAGCAGCCUCAACUACUGAGCCCCAGUGCCCUAGAGCCGGUGCUCCACAAGAGAAGCCACUGCAGUGAGAAGCCUGCACACCACAUCUAGGCAGCAGGCCCUGCUUCCCGCAGCAGAGAAAAGUCCACACAGCAACAAAGACCCAGCACACCCGAUAAGUAAAUAAACAAAGUUACUGCAAAAUAAAGCAAUGUGGUUCUCUUACUAGGCUUCGGAACAAGACUUGGCCCACGACUUAUUUCUGGGUGUCCAGGGUAGGAAAAGCGGUGCCCACAAAAUCGUGGUGGCAAUUAGACUUUGGGCACUUGGUUUGCACAGGGAGCCUGCCUCUGCCCUGAGCACCAAGGCUUAGGAAGGCCCCCGCUGCCUUUUCUACGUCAUUGCAGGCCCCCCC
Molecule: long non-coding RNA, 1032 nt
Organism: Bos taurus (domestic cattle)
Lineage: Eukaryota; Metazoa; Chordata; Mammalia; Artiodactyla; Bovidae
Source: Ensembl